This 184-nucleotide ribosomal RNA is filed under the name Giardia duodenalis. Its description in RNAcentral is "Giardia intestinalis partial 18S ribosomal RNA". The record is from RNAcentral. Lineage: Eukaryota; Fornicata; Diplomonadida; Hexamitidae.
GACGCUCUCCCCAAGGACGAAGCCAUGCAUGCCCGCUCACCCGGGACGCGGCGGACGGCUCAGGACGACGGUUGCACCCCCCGCGGCGGUCCCUGCUAGCCGGACACCGCUGGCAACCCGGCGCCAAGACGUGCGCGCAAGGGCGGGCGCCCGCGGGCGAGCAGCGUGACGCAGCGACGGCCCG